Molecule: ribosomal RNA, 221 nt
Filed under: uncultured bacterium
Lineage: Bacteria
Description: partial 16S ribosomal RNA
Rfam family: Bacterial small subunit ribosomal RNA
Source: RNAcentral
AGUAACGCGUGGAGAUCUACCCCGAAGUGAGGAAUACCGGCGAGAAAUCGCCGACAAUACCGCAUACGUUUCAAGCGAGAGCAAGAAAGAAAGUCUGCAAAGACGCUUUGGGAUGAGUCUGCGUCCGAUUAGUUAGUUGGCGGGGUCAAAGCCCACCAAGACGACGAUCGGUAGCUGGUCUGAGAGGAUGAUCAGCCACACUGGGAUUGAGAACGGCCCAG